UACAUGUGGGGCAAGCGUUGUUCGGAAUUACUGGGCGUAAAGGGCGCGUAGGCGGCGACUCAAGUUAGAUGUGAAAGUCCUGGGCUUAACCUGGGGACUGCAUUUGAUACUGGGUUGCUUGAAUUCGGGAGAGGAUAGCGGAAUUCCCAGUGUAGAGGUGAAAUUCGUAGAUAUUGGGAAGAACACCGGUGGCGAAGGCGGCUAUCUGGACCGACAUUGACGCUGAGGCGCGAAAGCGUGGGGAGCAAACAGG
This 253-nucleotide ribosomal RNA is filed under the name uncultured bacterium. RNAcentral's name for it is "partial 16S ribosomal RNA". It matches the Rfam family "Bacterial small subunit ribosomal RNA", at positions 524 to 776 of the family's 1533-position model. The record is from RNAcentral.